GAUGAACGCUGGCGGCGUGCUUAACACAUGCAAGUCGAACGGGAAAUAUUUCAUUGAGACUUCGGUGGAUUUGAUUUAUUUCUAGUGGCGGACGGGUGAGUAACGCGUGGGUAACCUGCCUUAUACAGGGGGAUAACAGUCAGAAAUGGCUGCUAAUACCGCAUAAGCGCACAGAGCUGCAUGGCUCAGUGUGAAAAACUCCGGUGGUAUAAGAUGGACCCGCGUUGGAUUAGCUAGUUGGUGGGGUAACGGCCCACCAAGGCGACGAUCCAUAGCCGGCCUGAGAGGGUGAACGGCCACAUUGGGACUGAGACACGGACCAGACUCCUACGGGAGGCAGCAGUGGGGAAUAUUGCACAAUGGGGGAAACCCUGAUGCAGCGACGCCGCGUGAAGGAAGAAGUAUCUCGGUAUGUAAACUUCUAUCAGCAGGGAAGAUAGUGACGGUACCUGACUAAGAAGCCCCGGCUAACUACGUG
RNAcentral lists this ribosomal RNA (478 nucleotides) under uncultured bacterium. RNAcentral's name for it is "partial 16S ribosomal RNA". It matches the Rfam family "Bacterial small subunit ribosomal RNA", at positions 28 to 507 of the family's 1533-position model. The record is from RNAcentral.